RNAcentral lists this unclassified non-coding RNA (233 nucleotides) under plant metagenome. Its description in RNAcentral is "partial contains small subunit ribosomal RNA, internal transcribed spacer 1, and 5.8S ribosomal RNA". The record is from RNAcentral.
UUUCCGUAGGUGAACCUGCGGAAGGAUCAUUACUGAGUGAGGGCCCUCUGGGUCCAACCUCCCACCCGUGUUUAUUACACCUUGUUGCUUCGGUGAGCCCGCCUCACGGCCGCCGGGGGGCAUCUGCCCCCGGGCCCGCGCCCACCGAAGACACCUAGAACUCUGUAUGAAGAUUGCAGUCUGAGCAAAAACUAAAUAAGUUAAAACUUUCAACAACGGAUCUCUUGGUUCCG